GAUGAACGCUGACAGAAUGCUUAACACAUGCAGGUCGAUUCAAGUUACCUUCGGGUAAUGAGGAUGGCGGACGGGUGAGUAACGCGUAAGGAACUUGCCUCUUGGUCUGGGACAACUGUUGGAAACGACAGCUAAUACCGGAUAUUAUGAGAUUCUCGCAUGGGAAACUUAUGAAAGCUAUAUGCGCCAAGAGAGAGCCUUGCGUUCCAUUAGCUAGUUGGUGGGGUAACGGCCCACCAAGGCGACGAUGGAUAGCCGGCCUGAGAGGGUGAACGGCCACAAGGGGACUGAGACACGGCCCUUACUCCUACGGGAGGCAGCAGUGGGGAAUAUUGGACAAUGGGCCACAAACCUGAUCCAGCAAUUCUGUGUGCACGAUGAAGGUCUUCGGAUUGUAAAGUGCUUUCAGUUGGGAAGAAGAAAGUGACGGUACCAACAGAAGAAGCGACGGCUAAAUACGUGCCAGCAGCCGCGGUAAUACGUAUGUCGCAAGCGUUAUCCGGAUUUAUUGGGCGUAAAGCGCGUCUAGGCGGAAAAAUAAGUCUGAUGUUAAAAUGCGGGGCUCAACUCCGUAUUGCGUUGGAAACUGUUUUUCUAGAGUACUGGAGAGGUGGGCGGAACUACNAGUGUAGAGGUGAAAUUCGUAGAUAUUUGUAGGAAUGCCGAUGGAGAAGUCAGCUCACUGGNCAGANACUGACGCUGAAGCGCGAAAGCGUGGGGAGCAANCAGGAUUAGAUACCCUGGUAGUCCACGCCGUA
This 758-nucleotide ribosomal RNA is filed under the name uncultured prokaryote. Its description in RNAcentral is "bacterial SSU rRNA". It matches the Rfam family "Bacterial small subunit ribosomal RNA", at positions 28 to 804 of the family's 1533-position model. The record is from RNAcentral.